UACGAGAGGCCCAAACGUUAUUCGGAUUUACUGGGCUUAAAGAGUUCGUAGGCGGUUCGACAAGUGAGGUGUGAAAUCCCUCGGCUUAACCGAGGAAUUGCGCUUCAAACUGUCGGGCUCGAGGGAGAUAGAGGUGAGCGGAACUGAUGGUGGAGCGGUGAAAUGCGUUGAUAUCAUCAGGAACACCAGAGGCGAAGGCGGCUCACUGGGUCUUUUCUGACGCUGAGGAACGAAAGCUAGGGGAGCAAACGGG
RNAcentral lists this ribosomal RNA (253 nucleotides) under uncultured bacterium. RNAcentral describes it as "partial 16S ribosomal RNA". It matches the Rfam family "Bacterial small subunit ribosomal RNA", at positions 524 to 776 of the family's 1533-position model. The record is from RNAcentral.